AAUGGUUCCAACUUAAUAAUAGGCAAUGUUUUCACCUUAACAAUGACACCUUGAAGUGCAAUUACUUCAUCCCAUUUGCUUUCCAAGUGCAUAAUUGACAGCAACAUAAAAAUAAGCAACCUAACCUAAUAGCUCAUUAGUCAAAUUCAAACCCUCACACAACCCCUCAUUCAAAAAUUUCUGAUAUAAAAACAAUAAAAGCAACCUAACCUAAUAG
RNAcentral lists this unclassified non-coding RNA (217 nucleotides) under Hevea brasiliensis (rubber tree). The record is from RNAcentral. Lineage: Eukaryota; Viridiplantae; Streptophyta; Magnoliopsida; Malpighiales; Euphorbiaceae.